AUAUAAAUAAACUAAAUUUUAAAGUUUUUAGGUUCAUACCCUAAACAUAGAUAAUUAUUAUCUUUUAUAAA
RNAcentral lists this transfer RNA (71 nucleotides) under Dryinus sp. ZJUH_2016011. RNAcentral describes it as "tRNA-Met". The record is from RNAcentral. Lineage: Eukaryota; Metazoa; Arthropoda; Insecta; Hymenoptera; Dryinidae.